Molecule: long non-coding RNA, 3682 nt
Filed under: Homo sapiens (human)
Lineage: Eukaryota; Metazoa; Chordata; Mammalia; Primates; Hominidae
Description: HSALNT0399575
Source: RNAcentral
CUAGACUCAAGCAAUCCUCCCGUUCGGCCUUCCAAAUUGUUGGAAUUACAGGUGUUAAUCACUGCACCUGGCCUGAUUUUUUAAUUAUCAAAUCAUGUUCAGAACUCACUUCAAUCCAAUUAACUGAGGAUUUCUGGAAAGGUUACCCAGGCAUCAGUAUUUUUUCACUGUGAUAAAAUACAUAUAAAAUGUACUAUAAUAAUUUACUUUAAUAAUUGUCUUGACAAUUUUUAAGUGUAGAGUUCUAUGGAAUUGAGUACAUUCACAUGGCUGUGCAACCAUCACCACCAUCCAUCUCUAGAACUCUUUUCAUCUUGCAAAACUUAAAUGCUGUGCCCGUUGAACAAUAACUUUCUCUUUUCUCCAUCUUCACCCUGACAACCACUAUUUUACUUUCUGUCCCUAUGAAUUUCACUACUCUAGGUACUUCACGUAAGUGAAAUCAAACAAUAUUUGUACUUAUGUGACUUGCUUAUUUCACUUAGCAUAGUAUCCUCAAGGUUCAUCCACGUUGUAGUAUGUGUCCAAGUUUUCUUCCUUUUUAAGGUGGAAAAUAUUGCAUUUUAUGUAUAUGAAUUUUACAUAUCCAUGCCUCCAUCGAUGGACACUUGGGUUGUUUCCCUCUUUGGCUAUUGUGAAUAAUACUGCUAUGAACACGGUGGGCAACUCCCUCUUCUAAACCUUGCUUUCAAUUCUUUUGGAUAUAUACCCAGAAGUGGAACUGCUGGAUUAUAUGGCAAAUUAUUUUUAAUUUUUCAAGGAUACAUCUUACUGUUUUCUAUAGUAACUACCAUUUUACACUGCCACCAGCAAUGCACAGGAGUUCCAAUAUCACUACAUUUCUUUCAAUACUUGUUAUUUUCAGGUUUUUUUCUUAGUAUCUAUUCUAAGGGGUGUGAGGUGGCUUCUCAUUGUGGUUUUGAUUUGCAUUUCUCCAAUGAUUAGUGAUAUUGGACAUCUUUUCAUGUGCAUAUUGGCCAUUUGUAUAUCUUUUAGGAAAAAUAUCAGUUCCAAUACUUUGCCCAUUUUUGAGAUGGGUUGUGUGGUUGUUGUUGAAUUAUAGCUUUUUAUGAAUUCUGUAUAUUAAUUCUUUAUCAGAUAUGCUAUUUGCAAAUAUUUUCUUCCAUUUUGUGGGUUGUCUUUUCACUCUAUUAAUUAUUUCCUUUGAUGCCUAGAGAUUUUUAUUUUUGAUGUAGUCCAACUUACUUUUUUUUCUUUUGUUGCCUGUGCCUUUGGUAUUUCCACUUUUUUUGGCUAUUGGACAUAAUGCUGCUAUGAACAUUUAUGUACAGGAUUUUUUUGAUGGAUAUGUGUUUUCAGUUCUCUUGGGUUUAUGCCUAGAAGUAGAACUGCUGCAUCAUAUGGUAGCUCUGUGUUUAAGUUUCUGAGGAACUGCAAAAAUGUUUCCAAAGUGGCUACACCAUCUUAUACCUUACCAACAAUAGAUAAGUGUUAUAUAUUCUCCACAUCUUUACCAACACUUGCUAUUUUUCAUCUUUUAGAUUAGAGAUAUCUUGGGGAUGUGAAGCAGUAUCUCCUUGUGGUUUUGAUUUGCAUUUCCCUAAUGACUGAUCAUGUCAAGCAUUUUUCAUGUGUUUAUUAGCCAUUUGUAAUCUGCUUUAGAAAAAUAAUUCUUAAAUUUUUUUCUCAUUUUUAAGUUGUGUUGUCUUUUUAUUGAGUUGUAAAGGUCCUUUAAAUACUCUGCAUAGAAGUCCUUUAUCAGAUAUAUGAUCUGCAAAUAUUAUUUUCCUUUUUGCUUUUUGCCUUUUCAUUUGUAAAAUUGUAUCUUUAGAAACACAUUUAACUUUUUUUUAUUUUGAGGAAGUCAAAUUUAUAAUUUGCUGUCAUUUGUAUUUUGGUGUUCAAUGCCUGAUCCAGGGUCAUAAAAAUGUGCACAUAUGUUUUAUGCUAAGAUUUUUAUAGUUUUAGCUCUUAAGGUUUUGAUCAAUUUUGAGUUAAUUUUUUUCUAUGAUAUGAGGAACUGGGCCAACCUCAUUCUUUUGCAAAUGAACCUCAUUCUUUUGCAUAUUUUGCAGUUUUCUGAGCAUCAUUUGUUGAAAAUACUGCCCUUUCCCCAUUGGUCUUGGAGCCUUUGUCAAAAAUGAUUUGACCAUACUAUAUGCAAGCAUUUAUUUCUGGACCCUCUAUUCUAUUCCAUUGGUCUGACUUUAUGCCAAUACUACACUGCCUUGAUUAUGAAGCUUCAUUGUAAGUUUUGAAAUCAGGAAAUCUGAAACUGCAACUUUAUUCUUCUUUUUCAAUAUCAUUUUGGUUAUUUAGAAUCCCUUGAGAUUCUAUAUGAAUUUUAGAGGGAUUUUUCUAUUUCUGAAAAAAAAUGUCAAUGAGAUUUUGAUAGGAAUUGCAUUGAACCUAUAGAUCACUUCGGGUAAGUUAGUUUUUCUAUAUGGUGUGAGAAACAGAUACGCCAUUUUUUUGCAUGUGGAUAUCCAAUUCUUGCAGCACCAUUUGUUAAAAAUACUAUUUUUUUCCACAUUGAAUUCUGUUGUCACCCUUGUCAAAAAAUAAAUUAAUCAUAAAUGAAAGGGUUACUUCUGGACAUUUAAUCUGAUCCCAGUUAUUUGUUUUUAUGUUGGUGUCGUAAAGUCUUUAUUACUAUACCUUUGUAUUAAGUAUGGAAAUGCGGAAGUGUGACUCUUCCAACUUUGUUCUUCUUUUUCAAGAUUUUUUGGCUAUUCUGGGUUACUUGCAUUGCUAUAUAAAUUUUAGAACCAUACUGUUUAUUUUCCCAAAAACAUUUCUGGGUUUUUCAGUAAAGUUUUUGUUUUGUUUUGUUUUGUUUGUUUGUUUGGAGAUGAUGUCUCGCUAUGUUGCCCAGGCUGGGCUUGAACUCCGGGACUCAAGGGAUCCUCCCACCUCAGCCUCUUGAGUAGCUGAGAUUACAAAGAGCACAGAAGCUUUCAGGGUGGAGAGUCAGGACAGGUUCUAUGGACAUAUGGAGCUCCCAGGGGGGCUUGUGCAGGACUCAAGGAAAUGUCCAGCUUAACCUGCUGGGCACAACAAUUUUGCUGCUUCAACCCAUCUGCUAUGGAAAAUGAGGAGCCAACAAAAAAGGGAGAAACAGAGGUGAAGGCACCUGAUAAUGAAAGCUUUAAGAAAGGGAAGGGGUAAGUACAUGCCGUCAGGUGAACCCAGAAGUCAAUAAAGAUGAAAAGUCCUUUGGACCAUGACCAAGAGAUUAUUGAUGCAAUCUGCUGAUGUCUUAGAAUGUGCCUUGCCUAGGCUGGUGCCUGUGAGCUGGCAGAAGUGUGAUGCCCUUCUCCGCUAGUAUCAAUAAAAUCGCACGAGAUAUUCUUGCCCCAUUCCCAGGUAUAUCCUGAGUCAUUCAUUUCAACCCAGCUUAACCCCAUCCUCACCCUCAGAGUUCUUCACCCUUGGAAUCAAUUCGUGUUGAAGACCUCAUAUCAUCUGCCUCAAAACCACUGAUCCACAUUGCCAUUCUGUUCUGACCUCUGGCUGACUUGCUUAGGUUCUUCCUCCCUACUGGACCACAGGCGUGUCUCAGCAUUGGGAAGGGUCCUAGGAUGCAUUGUAAAAGAAAGUCUGUAAUUUUGGUGCAUCAAGGAACAAAAGUGUGGAAACAUCCAGCCUGUGGCUGCUGGACACUCCCCUUCUUCCUUCUCACCAUACUGUCUGUAAUAAAGAAUAAAGUGUUAUUUAAUAU